UACGUAGGGGCGGAGCGUUGUUCCGGAAUGAUUGGGCGUAAAGGGCGCGUAGGCGGCUGUGCAAGUCAGUAAUGGAAGCCCAGCUUUUAAGGUUGGAAGUGCUAUUGAAACUGUGCAGCUUGAGUGCAGGAGAGGUUAUCGGAAUUCCCGGUGUAGCGGUGAAAUGCGUAGAGAUCGGGAGGAACACCAGUGGCGAAGGCGGGUGACUGGACUGCAACUGACGCUGAGGCGCGAAAGUGUGGGGAGCAAACAGGAUUAGAUACCCGU
RNAcentral lists this ribosomal RNA (267 nucleotides) under uncultured prokaryote. RNAcentral's name for it is "partial 16S ribosomal RNA". It matches the Rfam family "Bacterial small subunit ribosomal RNA", at positions 524 to 789 of the family's 1533-position model. The record is from RNAcentral.